RNA transcript from Piliocolobus tephrosceles (Ugandan red Colobus), 5348 nucleotides. It is a transcript of the gene named paraspeckle component 1, with no coding region annotated. The record is from RefSeq and is a predicted model, not a curated record. Lineage: Eukaryota; Metazoa; Chordata; Mammalia; Primates; Cercopithecidae. The transcript has 8 exons.
CUUUGGCGGAGGGGCGGGACUUGCACCGGCGUCUCUUCUUCUAACUGCAGUUUGUGGCAGCGCCAUUUUGAAUGUGCGGCUGCCGCGGGUGUGAGUCGGCGGAGGACGAGUUGCCGACUCGUCUACAUAGCGGUCUCUCGAUUGUCGAUAUUUUGUUGCCAUAGGUUUCUGUAGAGACGUAUACAUAUAUAUAGACACACUAUAUAUAAAUCUAGGCCUGUAUCCGGUGUCCGAGGCGAACUCACUAAGAUGAUGUUAAGAGGAAACCUGAAGCAAGUGCGCAUUGAGAAAAACCCGGCCCGCCUUCGCGCCCUGGAGUCCGCGGCGGGCGAGAGCGAGCCGGCGGCCGCGGCGGCCAUGGCGCUCGCGCUUGCCGGGGAGCCGGCACCGCCCGUGUCCGCGCCGCCGGAGGACCACCCGGACGAGGAGAUGGGGUUCACUAUCGACAUCAAGAGUUUCCUCAAGCCGGGCGAGAAGACGUACACGCAGCGCUGCCGCCUCUUCGUGGGAAACCUGCCCACCGACAUCACGGAGGAGGACUUCAAGAGGCUCUUCGAACGCUAUGGCGAGCCCAGCGAAGUCUUCAUCAACCGGGACCGUGGCUUCGGCUUCAUCCGCCUGGAAUCCAGAACACUGGCUGAAAUUGCAAAAGCAGAGCUGGAUGGCACUAUUUUGAAGAGCAGACCUCUACGAAUUCGCUUUGCUACGCAUGGAGCUGCCUUAACUGUCAAGAACCUUUCUCCAGUUGUUUCCAAUGAGCUGCUAGAGCAAGCAUUUUCUCAGUUUGGUCCAGUAGAGAAAGCUGUUGUGGUUGUGGAUGAUCGCGGUAGAGCUACAGGAAAAGGUUUUGUAGAAUUUGCAGCAAAACCUCCUGCACGAAAGGCUCUGGAAAGAUGUGGUGAUGGGGCAUUCUUGCUAACAACGACCCCUCGUCCAGUCAUUGUGGAACCCAUGGAGCAGUUUGAUGAUGAAGAUGGCUUGCCAGAGAAGCUGAUGCAGAAAACUCAACAAUAUCAUAAGGAAAGAGAACAACCGCCGCGUUUCGCUCAACCUGGGACAUUUGAAUUUGAGUAUGCAUCUCGAUGGAAGGCUCUUGAUGAAAUGGAAAAGCAGCAGCGUGAGCAGGUUGAUAGAAACAUCAGAGAAGCCAAAGAGAAACUGGAGGCAGAAAUGGAAGCAGCUAGGCAUGAACACCAAUUAAUGCUAAUGAGGCAAGAUCUAAUGAGGCGUCAAGAAGAACUCAGACGCUUGGAAGAACUCAGAAACCAAGAGUUGCAAAAACGGAAGCAAAUACAACUAAGACAUGAGGAGGAGCAUCGGCGGCGUGAGGAAGAAAUGAUCCGACACAGAGAACAGGAGGAACUGAGGCGACAGCAAGAGGGCUUUAAGCCAAACUACAUGGAAAAUGGUGAUAAAAGAAAACGUGGCUGAAGUUACAUGAAGUGCAGCUUGCAGUGUAAUUCAGAAGAGUUAAGACCAGAAGUACUGGAAUCAUACUUCCUUUCAGACAGCCCUGCCUUCCUGAUGAACAGUCGGUCACCUUCUCACGUGUUCCUGGCGCUGUUCGUUCACAUCUGUAGCUGGACUCCUGCUGCCUCCUUUACUGCUCCUGACCGGCACUGUGAACUCAGAUCUCCCUGUUCCCCCGGAAAGCUAUGAAAUCAGAUACACUGCAUGAUUCAAUUUAGGUGAAAAAGUCCAAUCUCGGCCCUCACUUAGCUAGAAAACCACAAAUAUCUACUGUCUUUUGAAGUUUUGAGACUUGAGAUAUAAAAGGAAACAGACUAACAUCAUAGUUUUAUUGACAAAACCAUAGGAAAAGGCAGUGUUAGGAUGUAAAGUAAAAAUGGUUCUCUGAAAUAUCUACACAAACGUGAAUUCUGAAAAGUUUUCAUUAAAAUCGUAUUUCAUACAAUUAUAAACUAAUGAGGAACAAAACAAUUGUCACCUUCUGCAUAAUGCAGCCUGAGCUCGACUGAUGCUUAAGCAGCAGGAACUUGUCUCAGACAAGGCGGCGGCUCCCACACAGCAGCCAGGCUUCGUUACCUAAGCUCCAUCUUCCCAGCUGGUGUUCAAAACUGGGGCACAAGAUCUGGCUUUUCAAAAAAACCGUGUAGACUCCAAGAAACUUUUUUUUUUUUUUGAGACAAGGUCUCAUUCUGUUACCCAGGCUGGAGUGCAGUGGCCUUUGACGGCUCUCUGCAGCCUUGACCUCCCCGGCUCAAGCAAUCCUUUCACCUCAGUCUCCGAGUACCUGGGACCACAGGUGUGUUCCACCCCGUGUUACCCAGGCUGGUCUCGAACUCCUCGGCCUAAGCAAUCCUCCAGCCUCAGCCUCCAAAGCACUGGGAUUAUAGGUGUGAGCCUAUAAUAUUCUUUUAGGCCUCAUAGUGUACAAGUGACUACAGCACAUUUACAAGUGACUGCCAUCUCCAGAAUGUGUGGCAACUGUCUACUAGAAAAAGAUCAGGCCUCCCAACCCUUUCAGGGGCAGCAAACCCACACUUUAUUUGGUGCUUGGGUAGCUUGAAUAUAACAUGGCUCCCCUUGCUGUAAGCAAAUGCUUUAGAGCUGAACUUUUUCUUCUUUUUUCUUUUUUUAAAGCACAGAAGUUCACCAGGGCUAGUAGAAAUUUCAAGGAGAAUCGCUUGAACCCAGGAGGCGGAGGUUGCAGUGAGCUGAGAUCGUGCCAUUGCACUCCAGCCUGGGCAACAGGAGCAAAAUUCCGUCUCCAGAAAAAAGAAAGUAAGUCUUUAAUUUUCUUAAAUAAUCCUCAUAUGUACUAUCCACAUUGUGGAAAAACUGAAAUACGCAGUCUGGACACUGCACUGAGAUUCCAGCAUACUGGCACAGACACAGCUAUGUCGCAUCUUACAGACUACAACAGACAACAGGCUUAACUGCAAGAGGUUUACAGGCAAAACUUUACACAGAUGUGCUAGAGGAAUUCCAAACUGCUGUCAGAGAGAGUGUAGGAAUGGGUCUGAAGAGAACUCCACCCAAUCCCUGCUGUUUGGUCACUGCAGCUGCACUCUGUAUGCACCUAUUAGCAACUUAACCUGUUGAAAGAAAAGAAUGCAGCUGUCAGUACAGAUCCAGAUUUCCCCUUUCUUACAAGAAAAAAACUAUACAUGGCCAAGAUCUGCUUCUAUUAUUUGGCAAUAUUUUCAAGUUGCUUAUCAAUUUACAUUGUUAGAUCAUUGCCAUUUUAAUUCAAGAAAUAAUUCCAAGUGCUAUUAAUUUUAUAUUACUGUUUUAUUAGAGAGACUAUUUUGUCCAGCUUCCUUUCAUACAAGAGAGGUUAGGGACCGACCUAAAGACAUGUAUUUGGCAAUUCCACACCAAGGCCUAGAACAUGAUUCAGAUGGCUCCAUCCUCUAGAGAGGCGUUCUUCUCAGCUGCAACCUAGUCCUGUUCCUGCCGCAUUAUUACGUCUAACACACUGUAGAUGGAGACAGGGUGCACCUAGCAUCACUACCCUAGGAAGUGCAUGUCUCUAGGACAGGUACACCGGGAUUCUUGGAAUUUUUUUCUAAUGUUGAUAAAGUAAUCUGGAGUAACAACUUGAGUACUGACACUACAUAUGAAGAAAGGAUUGUCACCUUGGCAGAGGGUGCUUCUGUCAACCUUAUGAAGAGUUUAUUGGGACCUGCAAUAGGGCUGAAUGAGUAAACAAAAUGACUGUCCUACAAUGGAAAGAGAAAAAAAAAUCAGUGCUUUUUCAAACUUACACCAGAAACUGUUAAAACACCAAUGAUGUAAAAGAAUCAUAAAUAAGUUUUGUUUUUUAUUUCAUAAGAUGCUGUGAAGGAGGCCAAGGCGGCCAAUUGCUUGAGCCCGUAAGUUGGAGACCAGCCUGACCAACACGGUGAAACCCCAUCUCUACAAAAAAUACAAAAAAUUAGCCGGAUGUGGUGGCGUGCAUCUGUAGUCCCAGGUAGUUAGGAGGCUGAGGCGGGAGGACUGCUUGUGCAUGGGAAGUCAAGGCUCCAGUGAGCUGUGAUCCGCGCCACUGCACUCCAGCCUGGUCAACAGAGUGAGACCCUGUCUCAAAAAAAAAAAAGUGACUGACUUUUCCCUUGAUUUAUUAAAAAUAUACAAAUGACAAAAUCAGUCCAGGAAACUGGAUUAGAAUGCACCCAGCAAUACACAGUACAAGUGUUAAAAUGGCUAUAUGUAGGGAAUUUUGCCUAAUUCAGUCCAAGGAAAUAAUUCUAAAAGUGGCAAAGUAUGUACAAAGAAUCUUUGAGAUCAUUAAGAAUUUAUAUUCAGAACAAUGCUAGCCCUAAGACAGUAUGGUAAGCACAAUUUAAGGCAAAAAAAUAAACAGGAAAAAUUCCUACUGACAAAAUUUAGGAUAAUUACGGGUAUUGCCUCAUUCCCAACCACUAUUAUUGGAUUAUUUUCUGAAUGAUUAUAUUUUAUUAAGACACAGGAAUUUAAAAUUAAGUCACCUAUGCUUUUGAUUAGAAGAAUUUACUUUUCAAUAGUGAAAUACAGAGUAUCUUACCAGAAAAACAGGAAGUUGAAAUUUAUCGUUCAGAACUACAGCUUGUACACUACAUGGUCCACAGAGCCGAGCAAUAACUUCUUUACCCAAAAAGUUUGCGUGGAAGAUAAACAGCAGGAUGCCGGAGCCUGAAAAUGGGAGGUGUGUGUGGAUUACUUCAGACGCAGCCUUCAGCCCCCAGAGAGAGGAACACUCAGCGCCAGACGGAAGCAGGCCCCAAGCUGGACCUGGCCAGACAGGCAUCACCCACUCCGCCUGGAGGUGCAGAGGAGGUUGGCCCUCUCAAAGCUUGUGUCACCCGGCAUUUUUCAACCCACAGAACUCUUCUUACCUUUUGCCCAAGUAAUCUCUACUGACAGUUCCUGGAAAAGACUUAAGUAUGAUUUUCUACACUGUAAGUUAUUAAACUGGUAUUUGAAACAUUACUGCUGAAUGUGCACCUGUCCCGGGGACAUUCCUGUGGUGGGCACCUUUGGGUGUGGGUCUGAGUGGUUUUCCAUUUUCUUCCACAUACCCUUUUGCCCCUUCCAAUUUUUCUGAUUAAUACAUACCCAAAAUUGGCCAGGCAUGGUGGCUCAUGUCUGUAAUCCCAGCACUUUGGGAGGCAGAGGCGGGCAGAUCACUUGAGGUCAGGAGUUCAAGACCAGCCUGGCCAACAUGGUGAAACCCCCGUCUCUACUAAGAAUACAAAAAUUAGUUGGGUGAGGUGGCGGGCACCUGUAAUUCUAGCUACUCGGGAGGCUGAGGCAGGAGAAUUGCUUGAACCUGGGAGGUGGAGGUUGCAGUGAGCCAAGAUCGCACCACUGCACUCCAGCCUGGGGAACAGUGUGAGACUCCU